CACGGUAAACGAUGGAUGCCCGCUGUUGGCGAUACAAUGUCAGCGGCCAAGCGAAAGCGUUAAGCAUCCCACCUGGGGAGUACGCCGGCAACGGUGAAACUCAAAGGAAUUGACGGGGGCCCGCACAAGCGGAGGAACAUGUGGUUUAAUUCGAUGAUACGCGAGGAACCUUACCCGGGCUUGAACUGCAGCAGAACGAAUCAGAGAUGAUGAGGUCCUUCGGGGCUGCUGUGGAGGUGCUGCAUGGUUGUCGUCAGCUCGUGCCGUGAGGUGUCGGCUUAAGUGCCAUAACGAGCGCAACCCCUUUCGUCAGUUGCCAUCAGGUAGAGCUGGGCACUCUGGCGACACUGCCACCGUAAGGUGUGAGGAAGGUGGGGAUGACGUCAAAUCAGCACGGCCCUUACGUCCGGGGCUACACACGUGUUACAAUGGCGCGUACAGAGGGCUGGCAUACGGUAACGUGUGUCUAAUCCUAAAAACGCGUCUCAGUUCGGACUGGGGUCUGCAACCCGACC
RNAcentral lists this ribosomal RNA (515 nucleotides) under uncultured bacterium. RNAcentral describes it as "bacterial SSU rRNA". It matches the Rfam family "Bacterial small subunit ribosomal RNA", at positions 798 to 1317 of the family's 1533-position model. The record is from RNAcentral.